UGUUUGAUCCUGGCUCAGAGCGAACGUUGGCAGUGUGUCUUAAGCAUGCAAGUCGAACGGCAGCAGGCCAUAUAGCAAUAUAUGGUGCUGGCGAGUGGCGAACUGGUGAGUAACACGUAAGAAUCUGCCCUCUGGUGGGGGAUAACUCAUGGAAACAUGAGCUAAUACCGCAUGAAGCCGAAAGGUAAAAGGAGAAAUCCGCCAGUGGAUGAGCUUGCGUCCCAUUAGCUAGUUGGUAGGGUAAGAGCCUACCCAAGGCGAUGAUGGGUAGCUGGCCUGAGAGGGUGGUCAGCCACACUGGGACUGAGAUACGGCCCAGACUCCUACGGGAGGCAGCAGCUAAGAAUCUUCCUCAAUGGGGGAAACCCUGAAGGAGCGACACUGCGUGCAGGAUGAAGGCCCUUUGGGUUGUAAACUGCUUUUGUAGGGGAGAAAUAACCGAAUGGGAUGAUAGUACCCUACGAAUAAGUCCCAGGCUAA
Molecule: ribosomal RNA, 480 nt
Filed under: uncultured bacterium
Lineage: Bacteria
Description: bacterial SSU rRNA
Rfam family: Bacterial small subunit ribosomal RNA
Source: RNAcentral